CACCACGUCUGGACAAGCCAACACGUAGCGCAAGAAUCAUUAGAUCCAUGCCCACUAUAUGUUCCGUAUACAAGAUACCAAGCAAUGCACAAUGCGCCACAAUGUCGAAGCAUGUGCUUCAAAAAGGUGGAUCAAAGAGAUCGCAUUAGGGUUCACCUCACGUCGCAAAAGCAACGCUAGAUGAAAUGAAAUUUUGAUCUAUCCAACCGAUACCAUUGAGUAGGUAUUCAGCACAGUAAACCCACAAGACGCUCAAGGCGAUACAAGACUUGCCGCAUAACUGAAGAGGUAUGAAAGCAUGGAAGUUAUUACAAGUGCCACAACCAACCACACGUAACAAACCAAACACCACUCAUGCACCUUUACGAUAAGCACCCCCGAAGCCACCCCAACUAGAAGCCACCCAUUCGGCUCAGA
Molecule: unclassified non-coding RNA, 417 nt
Filed under: Leucanthemum ircutianum subsp. pseudosylvaticum
Lineage: Eukaryota; Viridiplantae; Streptophyta; Magnoliopsida; Asterales; Asteraceae
Description: contains 5' external transcribed spacer, ETS
Source: RNAcentral